This 390-nucleotide long non-coding RNA is filed under the name Nicotiana benthamiana. RNAcentral's name for it is "long non-coding RNA (NBEN_LNC017732)". Lineage: Eukaryota; Viridiplantae; Streptophyta; Magnoliopsida; Solanales; Solanaceae. The record is from RNAcentral.
AAUGUCAAAAAUAAAAUAGGAAAGACAAUGAGGAAUAUGCAUGAUGAAGAUUGCCCAAAUAAAAAAACAUACCAAUUGAUAGAAAAGAAACAUAUCAAAUGUUAUUUUUAUCAAAAUGAUAUCAAUUGUAAUUGUUAGCAAAACAUAUUACUUAUUUCCAUAUCAACUGUUAAUUUUUAACACAAACAGGAGUUAUAAUCAUCAAAACAUGAAUCAUUUAUUUAAAAAAUAUACCAAUUGUUAAAACAUAUCGACUCUUAGGUUUUAUCAAAAAUGAUGACUGACCGAAAUUCCCCCUUGAUGCAAUAAGAUUUCGUGCUUGGUGCAUCUACUACAACAUUGUAGUCUUCAAGCACACCUGCAAACGUACCUAAAAAUAGUUUUUAGNNN